RNAcentral lists this ribosomal RNA (440 nucleotides) under uncultured bacterium. RNAcentral's name for it is "partial 16S ribosomal RNA". It matches the Rfam family "Bacterial small subunit ribosomal RNA", at positions 338 to 795 of the family's 1533-position model. The record is from RNAcentral.
CCUACGGGUGACAGCAGUGAGGAAUAUUGGUCAAUGGCCGGAAGGCUGAACCAGCCAUGCCGCGUGAGUGAAGAAGUAAUUCGUUAUGUAAACUUCUAUCACCAGGGAAGAAAUUGCCGGUACCUGAUUAGGAAGCCCCGGCUAACUACGUGCCAGCAGCCGCGGUAAUACGUAGGGGGCAAGCGUUAUCCGGUUUUACUGGGUGUAAAGGGAGCGUAGACGGCAGUGCAAGUCGGGUGUGAAAGGCGGGGGCUCAACCCCCGGACUGCUCUGGAAACUGUCCGGCUGGAGUGCAGGAGAGGUAAGUGGAAUUCCUAGUGUAGCGGUGAAAUGCGUAGAUAUUAGGAGGAACACCAGUGGCGAAGGCGGCUUACUGGACUGUAACUGACGUUGAGGCUCGAAAGCGUGGGGAGCAAACAGGAUUAGAUACCCCUGUAGUC